This 442-nucleotide ribosomal RNA is filed under the name uncultured bacterium. RNAcentral's name for it is "bacterial SSU rRNA". It matches the Rfam family "Bacterial small subunit ribosomal RNA", at positions 28 to 450 of the family's 1533-position model. The record is from RNAcentral.
GAUGAACGCUGGCGGCGUGCUUAACACAUGCAAGUCGAACGAAGCACUUUAUUUGAUUUCCUUCGGGACUGAUUAUUUUGUGACUGAGUGGCGGACGGGUGAGUAACGCGUGGGUAACCUGCCUUGUACAGGGGGAUAACAGUUGGAAACGGCUGCUAAUACCGCAUAAGCGCACGGCAUCGCAUGAUGCAGUGUGAAAAACUCCGGUGGUAUAAGAUGGACCCGCGUUGGAUUAGCUAGUUGGUGAGGUAACGGCCCACCAAGGCGACGAUCCAUAGCCGACCUGAGAGGGUGACCGGCCACAUUGGGACUGAGACACGGCCCAAACUCCUACGGGAGGCAGCAGUGGGGAAUAUUGCACAAUGGGCGAAAGCCUGAUGCAGCGACGCCGCGUGAGCGAAGAAGUAUUUCGGUAUGUAAAGCUCUAUCAGCAGGGAAGAUA